RNAcentral lists this transfer RNA (65 nucleotides) under Scolytinae sp. BMNH 1043001. RNAcentral's name for it is "tRNA-Phe". It matches the Rfam family "tRNA". From Rfam's summary of the family: Transfer RNA (tRNA) molecules are approximately 80 nucleotides in length. Their secondary structure includes four short double-helical elements and three loops (D, anti-codon, and T loops). Further hydrogen bonds mediate the characteristic L-shaped molecular structure. tRNAs have two regions of fundamental functional importance: the anti-codon, which is responsible for specific mRNA codon recognition, and the 3' end, to which the tRNAs corresponding amino acid is attached (by aminoacyl-tRNA synthetases). tRNAs cope with the degeneracy of the genetic code in two manners: having more than one tRNA (with a specific anti-codon) for a particular amino acid; and 'wobble' base-pairing, i.e. permitting non-standard base-pairing at the 3rd anti-codon position. The record is from RNAcentral. Lineage: Eukaryota; Metazoa; Arthropoda; Insecta; Coleoptera; Curculionidae.
AUUUAUGUAGCUAAAUUUGAUAGCAUAGUAUUGAAGAUACUAAGGUAGUUUUAAACUCUUAAAUA